GGCCAGAUAGGAUCAGGCACAUUUAUGACAUUUGGAUGAAGAAGAAUGGACCACUGAAACAUUGGCCCAUUGAGGUAUGGGUUAUGGAAAUUCUCACUUGCCACAUGCUAUCUUGAAGGGAACACUGCAUAUUACACGAUGAUUUUUUCUUUUUGCCGAGGUUGAAUAUACAACAAUGAAUCAUAUAAAAUUGCAUUUAAUUAAUUUAUGUUUUUAAAAUAGAUUAAUAGUUUAUGCUAUUCAAUUUGCUUGAAAUUUGAAUAAAAUAGCAUGUAUGAUAAAUAUUGGAAGUGGAAGCAUAAUAAGGUAUGUUGUCAAGUGAAUUUCUCAAAUUUCUUUUGCUCAACAACUUGAUAGUUUUGUUGACUAGUUAAAGAGUUAGUUUUGAUGUUAUCUCUUCUGUUCUUUUCUUGGGAGUUGGACCUGUUCUUCAUACAUUUUUCUUUGUUUUCUAUAUAAAACAGGCUUUCCCCCUUUCUUUUAUACUUUUCACUAGCAAGAAGACAACAUAUACAAAAUGGAUUUUGUAAACUCCCUUGUUGAUUUUUAGUUUUUCAUAAAAGAUGUCUAAAAACCACUAAUUUUAAUCUUGAAUCAGCACAAGUAUAUGGAACUUCCAAUGAGAAAGUUCAAUCAGGGUUAAGCUCAAACCUCAUUUUUGAUUCCUGAUUUGAGUCUUCUUAUCUUUCUUGCUAUGGAGUCCCAUGUUUGAUUCAUUCACUCUGUCAUUGACAUCAGCAUCGUUAUUAUUUUCUUUUCUAGAGAGGAGAGAUUGAUUUGUCUGUUAAAACUUGACUUACAUGCAUGGGAGGGAAUGAUAUAAGCACAUACCUUGAAUCUACAAUACAAUAAAACUAUACAACUUCCUCACUGAACCUUGUGAUUCACCUAAAGUUAAAUGACUUGAAGUCAUAUUUUGAAUAUGGACUUAUAGAAAGUUGUUAUAAUGGAAAUCUGUUGCACGCUGUUUAAUAAAAUUGAAGUUCCUAUGAAACUCUAGGUUUGUUCCUUGAAUGUUGAAUAGGAUAUAGCUUCAAGUUGGUUAGGAUUUUAAUCAUUUUUGAAGCAUUUCACUUAUAUUUAUUUAUUAUUUCAUUGAAAAAAGAAAGAAAAACUCUCUCCCAUCUUGUUAACAAAAGCAUGUCUCAACUAAUUAAGGCAGUGUAUCAUCGAUUAGAAGGUAUGAUAUUAUGUUAGGGUAUCUCCUAACAAGAAAACUUCAAGAACACAAGAAAUACAAGAACACUCAAAGAUAGAAUUAUAUUGCAAUGUAAGAGGAUUUACUAUAUAAAAAUAGCCUUUUGAGAGGGCUAUCUCUCCUAAAUUCCCUCAAUGGAAAUUUCUACCAAAAUGAACCACACCUUGCUCUCAACCCACCCCCUCUAUUUAUAACCUAAAAACCCCAACAAGCUUACUAGCUAAAUACUAAUAUGCCCCUACUAAUAACUAUACUAUUCUAGUAUUUCCCUAACUAGGGUUCUUACAUAAGAUGGAUUUCCUUUGUGGAUUUGGCCUAUACCUUUAACCCAUUGCAUCACUUUGUGAACUGUUUGUCUUUCCACUGCUUAGUCGUAAGAUUCUCUUUUUGUUUCACUCUUCUAGGAGUUUGUAUGUGUGAGCAUUAAUCUCUUUUCAUUAAUUUUUUGAAAAAUCUCUAUUUUUUUUUAUAAAAAAAGGAUAGUAAAGUGGUUUGCCAAAUUCUCCCAAAUGCAUGUAGAGAUAAAGUGGCUCUGGCUUUGUCCUUGAGAAAUUGAUCUGCCUUAAUUCUUAUGCGUGUUGCAUCUAUACAAGUCUCAUGUUUCCCCCAAACAUCUGCUUGCUUAUUCCAAGAUUUCAAUGGUUAUGCAGGACAGAUUUAUGGUCCAGUUGGAAUACAUUCUUUUCUGCCUUGAAGAAGGAAAAACGGAGGAUGCACAUCAGGAGACUUUAAGGUAUGGUAUUCAAACUGGGUAUAUAAUUUGUGUACUUGUGCAUGUUUGCAAGUUUUGCUUUACUUUUUACAAUCUUAUUUGGUUUGAACGUUUAAUCUAAAUGGAUAUUGAAACCAUAUUAGUUAUUUUUUUAAAAAGGAUACGAGUCUCAAAAUAGAGAGACAAAGCUCAAUGUACAUAAGGGGUAUACAUAGAGCAAUAGGGGGGAUCAGUAGGCGCACCUAGUCAUCUCAACUAGGUUGACACCCCUUUAACGAACUAGGUUGACACCCCUUUAGCGCCCUCAUCACAUCCAAAAAGCGAAAAAAAACCCAUAUACAAGGUUUCUAAAAGCAAUACAAUAUCAAAUCAAAGGCCACAAUACAAGGCCAAACAAGAUGAAAGAAAAAACUAUCCAAAACAGAAACAUAAGCAAGACAGCAAGCCGGACACAAAACAAAAAUAAUAAUCCUUGAUGGAGCAAAAACUGAUUGGAGCAGAAGGCUGAUUUGGAAGGCAUGAUAAUCUAGAACUUCAAGGUGGGAAGGCUAUAAAGGCUGGCCAAUUUAAAACAAUCUUCUGCGAAGAGUAAUCCUGAAAAUAUUUAGAUAAUGAGCACCAUGAAGAUGCAUUCAAAAGAGCAGAGUCAUAGCGUUCUUUUCAAACCAAAUUUCAGCUAAAAGUGCGUUUACUGCAUUUGCCCACAACAAUUCAGCUGUCUUUUUCUUCAAGUCUGGACCAGCAAGAAUUUGAGACACAUUGUUCUUAAAAACAUGAUAAAAAACCCAACAAAAAUUGAAUGCUUGGAGAAGGCGGAGCCAACACUUAGAUGCAAAGACACAAUCAAAUAAAAGGUGCUGGAUGUUUUCCAUGUUAUCAACACAAAAGGGGCAGACAUGAGGUGAGAGGGCAUGGGAGGAAAGCUUUCUAUGAAGUACUGAGGCACGGUUUAAAUUUUCGAACAGUAUAAUCCAUAUGGAUAUAUUUAUCCUUCUUGGACUGUUAGAUUUCCAAAGCCUUUUGUACAAAGAACUUUCCAAAGGAGAAGAUGUCGAAAGAUGCUAACCAGUGAUUUUACCGAGAAGGAACCUGAGUUUUCAAGGGACCAAAACCUUUGAUCUGGAAAGGAGGCUGGCUGUGAAGAAGAAAUCUGACUCAACAAGGUCUGAAAAUCUAAUAUUUCUUCAUCAUUAAGCAAUCUUAUGAAAUAGAUGGACCAAGAGUUGGUUGAAGAGUCUCGAUGAUCUAAAACAGACCCAUUUGGAUUGAGUGUGAUCGUAACCAAUCUUGGAAAUUUACACUCCAAAGUGAUAAUGUCCAUCCAAGGGUGCUUCCAAAACAAUAUUAUGCUGCCAUCACCUAAUUUGAGAAGAGCCAAUGAAUCAAUUUUGCUCCAUUGCCUUGAUAUGCUAAUCCAAGGACUUCUUAGACUCAUGGUUUUUUUUUCAUUUGAAUGUCAGUUGAAAGUACUACUUCUAUUAAUGUUUCUGGUCCCUUGACACCAAAGGGAAUUUUGUUCUUUUGAGAAACGCCAUCCCCACUUAGACAAUAGGGCCAGAUUCUUGUGCUUCAACUUCCCCAAACUAAGUCCUCCAUCUUUGUAGGAUUUAAUUACAGCAUCCCAUUUUACUAGGUGGUUUAGCUUUCCUCCCUUGUUUCCUUCCCAAAAGAGCUUUCUCACGAUUCUUUCCAAAGAGCUUAAAGAAGAUUCUUGCAUGAGGAAAACAAACAUAUAGUAUGUGGGGAGGUUGGACAAAACUGAUUUGCAUAGUGUAAUCCUCCCACCCUUAGAGAGAUUGUAUCUUCUCCAUUUAUCUAGCUUUCCAUGGACUUUAUCAAGAAUGGGCUGCCAAAGUCGAGCACUUUUUGGAUAACCUCCCAAAGGAAGACUGAGAUAAAUGAAGGGGAGACUUUCUACCUUGCAGUUUAAAAUGUUUGCGGUUGAAAUAACCUUGCUGUCCUCAAUAUUUAAACCACAAAUAGCUGAUUUCUCCCAAUUAAUCUUUUGAUCGGACACCAUUCAAAGACUAGUAAUGAUUUCCUAAGAUUUUCCAUCAUUUCCUCAUCAAAUUUACAAAACAAGAGUGUGUCAUCCGCAAAUUGAAGGAUAGGAAUGUGAAUCCUAUCUUUUCCAACUACAAAGCCUUCAAACAUUUCUUUCUUAUGAAGGUUGGAGAAGAGGCUGCUCAAAACUUCACUAACCAGAAGAAAAGGAAAGGAGAAAGAGGAUCUCCUUGUUUAAGACCCCUUGAAACUGAAAUUCUUCCUAUUGGCCUUCCAUUGAUGAAGACUGAAUAUUUAGGAUUCUUGAUACAUCUCAUUAUCCAUACGAUCCAUCUUUCGACGAAGUUCUUACGCAUUACUUUUUCUAAAAAUGCCCAAUCCACUCCGUCGAAAGCCUUUUCAAGGUCUAAUGUAUUUUGUAUAGAGAGACUUGGACCCUAUUUUAAUUCCUCUUGGCCUUGUAUUUUGUUCGGUCGAAACCAUUGACCAUUCGAGGGGAUUAGGAAGAGAGCCAGCUUGAGGGGAUUUUGUAUAGAGAGAUUUGUAGAAUUCAAUGAUGAGACUUUCAAUUCCAUUAAAGGACAAGCUACGUCUUUUUUUUUUUUUGCAGCAAGGAAACAAUGGAAGAAACUAGUAUUUUCAUCUCCCAAUUUUAGCAAAUUCAGCUUACAUUUUUUGAUUAAAUCUCUUUCCUCUCUUCUGUAGAUUGCUAAAAGGUCCGAUUUAAUAGACAAUUUCAGAAUGUUGUCUAAGGAUGACAUGUUCAAAGAUUCUUCCUUGAUUUCUUCAUUUGCAAGAGCUUGGAGCAAAUAUUCUUCUUGCUUUUUUCUAGCUCUUUCACUGUCCACAAGCCAAGAUUUCAAGUAGCUUUUUAAAUUUCGAAGUUUUGAAUAAAUGACAAAACCAGCCCGUCCUUGAUGAUUUCUUGAGGUCAAAGAAUUUUUUAUAGUUUGGCAGCACUGCUUAUCGAGCAGCCAGCUGUUACAAAAGCGAAAUGGAGAGGGGCUCAUUCAAAAGCACCCGCAUCUAAUAAGAUGGGGAAAUGAUCUGAAGUGAGUCUUUCCUUUCGAGAGGCUCUGGUAUCAGCAAAGGAUUCAUCCCAAUCAUCAGUUACUAGGAACCUAUCCAGCAGAGAACGUGAAACUGACCUUCCUUCUCUUGAGUCCUUGACCAUGUGAAUUUACCGUUGGACAGCAGAAUUUCUAGCAACUUUGACUCUCUAAUGAACUUAUUAAAUUUUCUCAUUCCCCUUGUUAAUCUUCCUACUGGAAAUCUCUCUUGCACCUUUCGAGUGAUGUUGAAAUCCCCUCCCAAACACCAAGCUCCUGUACAGAGGUUUGAAAGAAGAGACAACUCUGGCCAAAUUUGGUUUCUAUCUGGUAUGUGUGGGUCCAUAGUUGUUUGAAAUCCAGCAGAUUUUUCUAUUGAUUGUGCUGCAUUUUAUUGAUAUAGAAUAUCCUCGUUUCAGGACUUCCAUAACCGACAACUUAGAUUUAUUCCACAUAAUCAGCAAUCCUCCUGAUCUGCCGUUAGCUUCAACAAGGUCCCAGCCAAUUCCUUUUGAACUCCAUAGUGCCUUUAUAAUACAACAGUCAAUUUCUUCUCUUUUGGUCUCGUGAAUCAUUACUAUAUCUAGAUUAACUUUCUUCAAAAGUUUUUCAAUAGCCAAUCGUUUCAAUUGACCCAUGAUUACUCUAGUGUUCCAUGAUAUAAUCUUCAUCCUGAUUACCCCUGCCUUAGAUCAAUUCAAUUUCACAGGCUGCUAAUAAUGGGAUCAACUCUUGAGGGGGAAGGAUUCUUGCUGUCUUACACGAACUUUCUUUCUCUGGGGAGGAAAACAGCUUAGUAAUGUCUGGGCCUAGAGAGUCAUUAUCUUCUAGUUUCUCUGUCUCUGUUUGGAUUUCUUCUUCCUCAACUGGUUCAAUUUCAGCACUACUCACACCGAUGACUGAUUCAACUUCCAUAAUUUCAUCUUCUGGGUUCUCUACAUUCUUGAAACAAGAGGUACCUUGCACAAAAUUGAGAAAUGAAUCAGAAAGCUUUGAGGAGGAUUGAAAAAAAUUAUUAUUAUUUAAAGAUGAAGGCAGUACUGACCUGUUACCUCCAGAAUUUUGAAUUUGUAACUUCACACAACUUUCUUCUAAUAAGUUAGAGUUAGCCAAGCCCGUCCAAAUGUUGCGAAAAGAUAUGAACCCCUUUGAUAAAGGUCUUGAGGUUCUUGGAUAAUUUUCUGGAUUGGUUUGGGAUGACUUUCUUUACAGAGAAGGUUUUAUUCUUGGAAGAAGCUGGUAAUUUUGGUUGAGUACAAAAUACAUAAGAUGGCCCGAAAAGGAAAUAGCUUGGUGGAGAAAAGGACUCUGAUUCUUCCUCAAACUCGUCACAAUACCAGCAGCCAUUGGUUUUCUGAGUAAUAAAUUUCGUGGGGCGUACCAAACAUGUGUCAUCUUUUAAUAGGCUUACUGAUACAUUAUAUUGGAGAAAAACUGAAUGGGGAGGACUAAAAGAGCCGUUUUUUGAGGUAUUAAUUGGCCGCUUGACAGUCUUUUCUAUUUCUUUUUUCGAGAUCUGAAUUUCUCUCUUCUGGUGUAGUCUUUUCCUCCUCUAAGCACGUGGAGAAGCCAGCUUUAUCCAGAUUUGUAUUUUGUCCCCUGAAACAGGUCUUUUCCGGUGAGGGUUCCUUGAUUGAAUUUUUUUUUCGGCCGAGUGGGUGAUGUAUUUAGCUUGUACUGUCCUUUACUGAUCCUUUACUGUUCUGUUAGUUACGCUAUUAAGUUACUGCUACAGUUAGUCACUGUUCUGAUAUAUUUUAGAAGCUUUAUAAUUAGGCAGUUGUAACUUGCUGACUUUUGGGGUUAGUAUGAAAACCCCUAGUUUGUCAUUUAAAAAAGAAUAUAAUAAAAUUCCAGAACAAAGAUUUUAGUCUUCUUGAGUGUCUCUAUCCAUCAAUUUGGUAUCAGAGCUUCACCGGUGAAGGGAGCUGUGACCGACAAGAACACCUCCGGCAAGGGAGAGGAUGUAGUGCUGAAUGAAGAAGAGAUCUGUCCACGCACUUUGACUACCCGAUUGACGGCCGUUGAAGAAAGCAUGGUAGAAGUGUUCGACCGAAUGGGAAAUCUUGAAGCCCGUGGAACGACUUGCUCGCCGGCUUGAAGUGGCGUUGACUGCCCUUCCCCAGCAGCAAGAAAUCAGCAAUAGAAACCACCAAGAAGUUCGGCACAUUGCCAGCCGAAUUUCUGGCCAAUUAUGCCACAAAGAACGUCAAAAUUCAGUCCAAGAUUGGGGGCAACGAGGCACUCGAGGGGCUGGAGUACAUAGAGCUGGACGAAAUCAUCAAGAAAGAAAGUUUGAAGUGCAAGAAAGGAGAAAACUAGUCCAAGAUUACCAAGAACCCCAUGUAAGAAUUCAAGAAUACAGCCAAAUUCUUCAAGAAAAAAGGUUUGAAGCUCAAGAACAUAGGAGACCUAAUCAAAAGUAUCAAAAAGUUUCCCCAAGAUUUCAAGAUUGCUUUCAAGAUUUUGCAAGAACGACUCAACGUGUAGAUCAACCAUCAAUUUAUUUGCAAGAGUCCAAGAACAAAUUUGCUUCAUAUACAAAAGAAAAAACAAAAGAAUCACAGUUGGAAAAUUUUCAAAUAGAAAAUCUUGAAGAUAAAAUUGAAGAACAAGAUUUUGAAAAUGUUGAUUUGGAAAUGGUCACAAGUGAAGAAAAAUCCAACGAAGAAGAUGAAAAAUAAGUAUUAAACACCGAGCAAAAAUCGAACAAGAACAACGAGACAUUGAUUGCUGUGGAAAUGAAUCUUCAAACCGUAGAACUUGAAGCGAAUGAUAAAGAAAAUAUGAUUCUUGAAGGGUUUUCUUCGAAAGCAAAUUCUUUUAAAAUUGAUUCUUUGAAUACGAUUUUGAGUGAGAUUGAAGGAAACAUCUUUUUUGGGUUUACAGUUGAUGGAGAGGUUCAUCUUUUAGUGGCCAUGUUUGAUUUUUUGUCUCAAGUUUAUCCCUUUGAUCAUAAUAUUUUUGUUCAAAACAUAGGAGGUUGGUAUGGUCAUUCUCCGUUGAACAAGUUUAUUUCAUUCUUUUUUUUGCUUCAUAAAUUUUUUCUUUGUAAAACUUGGGACGAGUUUUUCUUUUUGGAGGGAUAGAAUGAUGUAAGAAGACUAAGGGUUAAUUGGGUAGUUAGGUAAUAUUCUAGGUUUAUUCCCUUUUUACCCCCAAUUGUAAUAGAAAUCUGUAAAUAGGAGCCUUCUCCUCUUGUAUGAAGCAUAUUAUUCAUUCUAAUAAAAAAUCCAUAAUCUUGGUUCUUGGAGGAUUUCUCCUUGAGGUUACUUAGAUUACGUCAGUGAGAUUUUCAUCUUCACACCUCAGCUUCCUUAGUGCCUCAAAAGGAUUCCUUGAGAUGGAAUGGGCAUUUUGGUUGAGAAAAUUCCAGGUCUUUGGGAGGUCAUCACCUUGGAGUUCUCAUCAAUAAUUAUUGAAUUCAGUCUACAUAAAUCAAUAGGAUUGGAAAAAUCACUAUGAGAUAAAUUAUGAUGAACUGUUGCAGGAACUUCCAAGGGUUCAAAAUCCUCAAAAUGAAAGAAAAAAUUCCCUCAGGUCUCACUCUUUAGCUCUAUAGUUGGAAUCCACAAAGAUUAUUUUGGACCUUAAUUCUUGCUUCAGAGCACUUGAUCAAGAGAUUUAUACAAAGAGCGCAAUAAAGAAGAAAAAGAAAUGGGGAACCUAUAGGAUUAGGAGGCGCACCUGGACAUCUCAACUAUGUUAUCUUCAAUAUUGAACCUCCCCUUUUCGAACCAGAUGCAGUAGAAAGACCCUACGAUUUUGCAACUUUUGACUUCCAUUUUCGGAAAAGAUGGAGCUGUGACUCCUCAGGUUUGACGUCGGUGACGUGACUGCGAGAAAUUGUGACCGGAGAAGGCGUGGCUGGAGUGAAGGGAGAAGAGGGUGGGUGAGAGGAGAGGAGAGAGAGAAGAGAGUUAGUUGGAGUCUCUAAAACAUUAAAAUUUAUCGAAACCAUAUUAGUUAUUAGCCUAUCAUUUGUCUACUUGGAGAUGUUUCCAAUUUCAUGACUUAAUGACUAGUUGAACUUUCUUGACUUAAUGAAUGGCCGAACUUUUUAUUUGCUCAUUCUAGUUAUUUUCAACUUUGGAAGUGGGAUCAACAUAGAUUUUUGUCUUUGUUAAUUGCAUCACAUAUUUCAUUCCUUCUUCCUGCCUUUGUUUAUCAGAUGAUUAGGUUAUUUCCAAAUUCCAACGUUUUCAAGAAAAUAAUCUCCAGUUGCCUGUUGGUCUUUCGUUGGCAUCAAAGAAUUUGUUCUCUAUUGUAGUGAAAACCAUUUUAAAAGAUAUUUGGUUUUAAAGGCACACGUUGAUGCUUUUCGGGUCCCCAAAUUGUGCAGAAAUUCUUCGAAAGAAAUCUCCAAGCAGGUGCUUCCAGCCUUCGGUUUGCCCUCUUUGUAUGAAAGCUAAUGAGUCAUUGCUUCAUCUCUUCCUACUUUGCCCCUAUUCCUCUAUUUUUUGGAAUAGUUUCUUCUCCAUCUCUGAUAUUUCUUGGGUAUUCGACGCCUCCUUCAGCUCCUCGGUGCUUCAGCUAUUGGAGGGUCCACCUCUUCCUAAGAAGCCUCGGCUGAUUUGUUUAAAUCUUUUAAAAGCUCUUUUAGCGGAAUUGUGGUUUGAAUGUAAUUAGCAGAUCUUUCAAAACAAGAAAAGAUCAAGCUCAGAAAUUUCAAUUCAGUGAUGCAGCAGCUUGGUGCUCUAAACAAGUUUUUUGCAAAUUACUCCAUUUAAGACCUUUGUCUCAAUUGGGCAGUUUUCUAUCUCAGUUAGUUUUCUAGGACUACUUCUGAUGUGGUGUUCCCCGUCUGGAUUUCCAUGGAGCUUAUUUCUAUGCUUUCUUUUUUAUUUUCUCAGUAGUAUCUUAGUUGUACUAAAAGGCUCAUCUGUUUCUGGACUUUUUUCUUUUCUAGUUUUCGAUGAUUUUUUAGUUCUGCUGUAUUGGCUGGAUUCCGCUCUCAUUUUAAUAGGCUGGAUCUUGUUCUCUUUGUUGCAGUAGGCUAGUUUUAGUUGGGAUAUGAUAUUUUAGUGCUAAGGGGUGUCAACCUAGUUGAGAUGUCCAGGUGCAAUUUCUGAUCCUUGUUCUUCUUUCGCUUGUUUAGACUUCUUUAUUUAGUUCUUUGUAUAAUUCUCUUGUACAUUGAGUUCUUAUUAUUAAUAAAGAAGUUUGUCUUCGUUUAAAAAAAAAAGCACACAUUGGAAUCCUUGGAAAGAUAUCUUGUUUGAGCUUCCUACCUUUUCUCCUUUUGUGAAAUAUGUCGUGGAGAAUGGAAAGGACGCAUUUUUUCGUGGGAGGAUCAGUGGGUGGGGGAGGGUGCUCUUUCUUCUGUCUUUCCUCAUCUUUAUCACCUUUCUUCCAUUAAAAAUUGCCCAAUUUCUUACUUCUUGAUUUGGUCGGAGAACUUUGUCUUUUUCCUUUGGGUUUCGUCGUAAUUGGUCCAAUAGGGAAACAGUAGAGGUUGCCUCUCUUCUUUCUUUAUUGGAGGGAUGCUUGUUUUGGAAAGGGAGAAUGGAUAUUUGUCUUUGGAGUCCAAAUUCUAGAGGGCUUUUCUUAUAAAUCCUUAUUCAGAUUGCUUGUAGAUCCCUCUCUCAUUGGGAAGUCUGUUUUUGAUACCAUUUGAAGGAUUAAGAUUCCUAAGAUAGGUUUUGUUAGUAGCAAGUCUUGCUUGGUCGUGUGCACACUUUUGAUAGACUUGUUAGGAGGAAAACUUCACUUGUGGGGCCUUUUUGAGGGCAAAGGAAGACCUGGACCAUCUCUUGUGGGGUAUGCAAGAUCUAUGUGGAGCUUAUUCUUGCAAGAGUUCGAUGCCAGCAUUGCCUGGUCAGAGAGAUGUGCGUGCGAUGACCGAGGAAUUCAUCCUCCAUCUGCCUUUCGAGAAAGGCUGCUUUCUAUGGCUUGUUGAGGUGUGCGAUUAUGUGGGAUAUUUGGAGGGGAGAGAAAUGAUCGGGUUUUUCGAAGGAAGGAUAGGGCCUCUACUAAGAUAUGGUCUUUAGCGAGAUUUCAUGUGUCCUUUUGGGCUUCACUUUCUAAUCUUUUUUGUAACUAUUCACUAGGAAAUAUCAAUCUUAGUUUGAUCCCCUUCCUUUAGUGGGUAUUUUUUUGUUGGGCUUGUUUUUUUUAUAUGCCCUUGUAUUACACUUUCUGAAUGGAAGUUGUUUCUAUAAAAAAAAGAAAAAAAAGAAAAAUACUUUGUUUCCACGGAAUUAUUGUUUUGGUUCUGCUUGUCAUAAAAGCUUUUUGGUGUUUCCAAUUCAAGCACUUUGCUAGAUACACUAUUUAGGUCUUUGUCUCAAUUGAAAUUCUUUAGUCAACCUAGUUAUGCUAUGUAUGAACGUAAUGGUGGAUGUUAAGAAAGAAUCGGAAAUGGCUUUAGUCACACUAAUUAUACUUGUUUUCUUUUGUCAGCCUCAUGCAAAUGCCUGAAUCUGUGAAUGAUCCAAUGUCAAAUAUGAUUAUAGGAUUGACAUUUAGGCAACUGUGGUUCUCUACCAUUCCAGAAGAAAUUCAGUGGAGGGACUCUCUCCAGUUUCACUCUCCAAUUCAUUCAGAUGGGAUGAUUUUGAACUCAGAUGGGUGUUCCACCAGCAACUCUCAUGGUGAUGGUGCCUCGUAUUGGAGUAAGACAGAGACUUCUGUCAUGAAUGGUAAAUUAGUUCAAGUAGAUAGUGAAGGACACACUGAAGCUUCUUUCGAUGUUGAUCAUAAGAUUCAUAACAUAAAAGUGGAAAGUCAUCCUCAGAACUUUGAGGCACAAGAUUUUUGUGUUAUUUCUGCCGAAAAAGAUGAAAAUGAAGCUUCUUUCUCAGACAAUGGAGGUUAUCAGCACUAUGUUUCAAUUUUCUCUGCUCUUGGUGAGUUCGAAGUUACACGAUUAUAUGAUUAUUAAGCCUUCUCUAGAUACUGUGCCACUCAUAAUUAGAUUCCUCAAUUUGAAGGGAGCUUUUGUGCUAUUCGUUCAAUCAUCUAUCUAGGUUACCCAAGCAUGUGAAAGUGUUUGAAUUUUUUAUUUCUUUGUUGGUUAUGUUUAGUAGUAUUUAGUUUAUAGCCUUACAUACCUCAUACUUGCGCGCUCAGAGGCAUAUAUGUACGGAUGUAUGCACCUACAUAUGUACAUUUUUUUUUGGGCACAACGUUUUUUUUUCAAAGAAAACAAGAUUUACAUAAACAAAUUUUCCCAUAAAAAUAAAAGGACAUCAAUAUUCAACAAAUAAACAAAAAGGAACCCCCUACCCAGUACUCUUUCAAGCAAUCCAAGCUAAUCCAAGCAAAGUACAUACCAAUCGCCCGAAGCCUAUUAACAACAAAAGCCAAAACAAUACACUGACAGUUAAAAUAAGUUUAAGCAUUCAUUAGAGUCCAAGGGACAGAACAAAUAAAAGCAGAGGCAGAUUCACAUACAGGGCAACUUUGGGAUCAAAUAAGCAGUGAGGCAUUGCAAAUGAAGGUUGAUUCUAAGAUCGAGAUGGGAAGUGGAAGAAGGGGUGGUGGUAUUUGGAUACUUCCUAAGAAGAACAAAAUUUGAAUUUAUUGUAAAUAUAAAGAAAUAUAAGAUAAACCCAAGUACAAGGCACUUGGAACCUCCCUCCUGAGUACUCUCAAGUCUCACCCAACCCUAGAUCACUCCACAAAAUAAGCUCCUUUACUCUCACUUACCCACCCUCUAUUUAUAUCAAGUUGUAACCACUUGAGUAACCACCCUUAAACAAUAACUACUAAUUACUAGUAACUUCCUAUCUUUCUCAUUACCCUUAUACCCAUUAACUAACAUCAUACUAAAUAUCUAGUACUUACAUAAGGUAGGUAGAGCAAAGGUUUUGAUGGGUGAGGGAAAAAGAGUAGAACCCCAAAAUCAUUGGGGUUCUUUAUAUCUUUUUGAGGUCUUAGUUGAAUUCCAUCUGGAAAAAUCAUAUCUAGGAAAUGUUGAUCAGGAAGAAAUGAAACAAUCCGCAAGUGUGAUGCCGGGAUUGAAUCUGUCAUAAAUGAGCAUGUGAGAGAAAGGUUCUCUUCCAAGAUCCGAUGAACUAGAUUUCAAAGAAGAGAUGGAGGGGAGAGAAAAGGGAGGGAGAAAGGGAAAGAAAGAUGAAGAAAGAAAUUCACCUCAUCCAGAAAAAUUAAUUCAGAAACCAAUUAUAAAUUUAUAAGCAUUUUUCAAACCUUAGGACUAAAGUGUUUCUUUUGAAACUUUAGAGACCAAGUAGGCACUUAUUGCAAACUUUAGGGACCAAAAGUACAUUAUUAUUAUUAUUAUUCUAUGCUUCGUUUUGUUAUAUAAUUUUGAAGGACUGGUUGUGAGCAAAUAAGCAUCAAAGAGCUUGGUUAUAUAUGAGCUAGUUAUUAUUUUGAUUUUUGAUCAUUUAGAUGGACAGAAGAAAUCAAUUAUUGACAAAUGUGAUCUUAUAUGCAUUAUAAUAAGUCUAUCCCUAAGUUGACAUCUACUCUCAAACUUAUGUUCAUAUGCGUAUGCGUAUGUGUAUGCAUAUGCAUAUACAUAUCCAUAUGCACAUGCAGAUGCACAUACACAUAGUACACAUACACACAAUAUACAUUAAUGCAUUUUUAAAUUUCUGCUUUGUAGUUUUGGGUUGUUUGUAUGGCUAGAUCUAUUCUCGUCAUUACCGUUGUAUUUGCUUUGGGUUUAAGUCUGAAUAUGAUGAGAGUGCUUUGGGGUGUUAACAUAGUUGAGAUGUUCAGGUGCACUUAUUGAUAGUUAGGGCUUUGACCUUGUCUCUUCAUUGUAUUAUCUUAUGUAAUGUCUAUACAUUUUCUUAAUGAAGAGGCUAGUUUCCUUUUUCAAAAGAAAAUUCUUUGGAAAUGUCAGUUGGUGGGCUCACGAUUGUAAGUUAUCCAUGUUUUUUUCUUCUGUGUGGUGCCACAGAGGGAUUGGAUCCACUAUUGUUACCUCUACAUUUGCCACCUUCCAUUGAGAAUUGGGAGAAUGCCAUUAGUCUAUGUGGUGAGUUUCUGAAUGACUAUUAUAAGGAUGCAGUGAAGCAUCUAGACCUUGCUCUUAACUCAAAUCCUCCAAUAUUGGUUGCCUUACUGCCUCUUAUACAGGUAAAGCAAACCUAAUUAUUCAAAACUGUAUUCCAUUUAGAUGAUUCUUUCAUAAUAUUUGAUAUCUUCUAGGUUGGCAUACUGUACUUCACUAUUCUCAAUACUUGAUAUGUAUGAUUGAAGGUGACUAUUAUAAGGUGUGCACGAUUUGUGGGUUUCUUAGAGAGUGGAAUGAUACAAUCUUUAGAGGGAAGGAGCUUAACGCUUUUGAUGUUUGGUCCCUCAUUAGCUUCCAUGUUUCCUUGUGGAUUUCUGUAACAAAGCUUUUUUGUAACUAUUUUUUAGUUAUAUCGUGCUUGAUUGAAGAUCUUUCUUGUAGGUUGCUUUCUUCCUUUGUGUGGGCUUUCUCUUUUGUGUGCUCUUGUUUUCUUUCACCUUUUUUCUCAAUAAAAGCUUAAUGGGCUCUCCCUCACGUCCUUACAUCUCCCUCAUAAACUGGAAGAGUUUUUUUGUAACUUCCCUUCUUGGAUUUGCCAUUAUGUGCAAUUUCAUUAUUUUAUUGAUAUGAAGCAAAUGAAUUGAGCCUAAACCCACACUUCCUGUCUGUUAUCUUUUCUUUUUAACGGAGACAAACCUCUUUAUUAAUAAUAAUUAAUGAAUGAGACUAAUGUUCAAAGUACAAGAGUAUUAUACUAAGAGCAAAAUAAGAAAAGGACAAAAUCAUCCAAACAAACUACACAAAGAUGAAACCGGGCAAUACAAAAGGGAAAAAAAACAACCAAAACAAACAAUCACAAUGAACAAGCUAAUAGAGCGAAAUCCAACAGAAAAAUUGAAACUAAACAGAACCAAAACGAAGAGAUCUGAAUACAAAGUAUAACGAAAUAGCUCUCUAAAAAAGAAAACAUUCGAAUCUAGAAACUAGCAAGAAGAUGCAACCGGCAAUCUCAAAGCUUUCAUGCCAAAGUAAUCCAAAACCCAGAAGAGACUCGAAAAAGUCUUUCAAAAUAUCAGCAUCAGGAAAGUGGCUUUACUUGCCCCCCAUAUGAAGAGAAAACCUAGAGAGACUAAAGAUGGGCUUUUUUAGUGUUGCACGAUUGGAGGAAUCAUUCAAACCCUUAGUGUUUCAGGAGACAAUUUUCAUAAUAGCUGGGAGAAGGAAAAGGAUGGCUUCAUUUUUAAAUUAAGCAAAAAUAAUUUCACAAUCACUGACUAUUGACAACAAAUCUUUAGGCAAAUCCAUGGGAAUUUUAUUUGGGGAAGCCCUCAUCAUUAAACAAAACAUUUAGGUCCAUCCCUUAAUUUCUGAGUCUAAUUUAAGGUCAACCUUAAUGGAUUCAGCUGAAUCUUCACUGCUAACACUGAUAGGAGAGAAAAUUUUAAGCUGGUUUUUUACUGAAAAAUCAUCUUUGCAGGGGGAGCCUUGCAGAAAAGAUUCCUUUGAAUUAGAGAUGGUGGAUUUAGAAAAUUGAGUCACUUUGAAGAAGAAUCAAAACAUUUACUGACCUGAUGAAGCGUUCAGGGAUCUGAAUUUUAGAGCUGUACACUUCCAAAAGAUCCGGUUAUUGGCAGAAACAGAGUGCUUGAUGGGGCAGUUUCGAAAAGAGUCCAAAGGGGGAAUUUAAGGUCACAAACCCCAUUUAAUUCAGAUUUUAGAA
This 15612-nucleotide long non-coding RNA is filed under the name Cucumis sativus (cucumber). RNAcentral's name for it is "long non-coding RNA (CSAT_LNC001436)". The record is from RNAcentral. Lineage: Eukaryota; Viridiplantae; Streptophyta; Magnoliopsida; Cucurbitales; Cucurbitaceae.